AUGAGCGUGGAGAUCCUGGACGGGAGGACGGUGCAGAGCUUCGUGGAGGACGAGGGGGCCUUCAACGCCUCCGUCGACGGCCGCUUCGCGGCGCUCGACGCCGACCACGACGGCCUCCUCUCCUACCCUGAGAUGGCCGGGGAGAUCAUGAGCCUCCGGGUCCUCGAGAAGCACUUCGGGGUCGACGAGGCCGGUGCCGUUGGUCCCGACGAGCUCGCAAAGCUCUACCGCUGUCUGUUCGCGCGCUUUGACCGCGACGGCGACGGUGCAGUGGACCGGGAAGAGUUCUGGGCGAGAUGA
RNAcentral lists this ribosomal RNA (300 nucleotides) under Triticum aestivum (bread wheat). RNAcentral's name for it is "partial small subunit ribosomal RNA". Lineage: Eukaryota; Viridiplantae; Streptophyta; Magnoliopsida; Poales; Poaceae. The record is from RNAcentral.